RNAcentral lists this ribosomal RNA (479 nucleotides) under uncultured bacterium. RNAcentral's name for it is "partial 16S ribosomal RNA". It matches the Rfam family "Bacterial small subunit ribosomal RNA", at positions 28 to 507 of the family's 1533-position model. The record is from RNAcentral.
GAUGAACGCUGGCGGCGUGCUUAACACAUGCAAGUCGAACGAAGCACUUAAGAUUGAUUCUUCGGAUGACGUAUUUUGUGACUUAGUGGCGGAUGGGUGAGUAACGCGUGGGUAACAUGCCUCACACAGGGGGAUAACAGUUAGAAAUGACUGCUAAUACCGCAUAACCCGAUAGGAUCGCAUGAUCCAGACGGAAAAGAUUUAUCGGUGUGAGAUGGACCCGCGUCUGAUUAGCUAGUUGGUGAGGUAACGGCACACCAAGGCGACGAUCAGUAGCCGGAGUGUGAGGGGGAACGGCGACAUUGGGACUCAGACACGGCCCAAACGCGUACGAGAGGCAGCAGUGGGGGAUAUAGCGCAAUGGGGGAAACGCUGAUGCAGCGACGCCGCGUGAGUGAAGAAGUAUUUCGGUAUGUAAAGCUCUAUCAGCAGGGCAGAAAAUGACGGUACCUGACGAAGAAGCCCCGGCUAACUACGUG